RNAcentral lists this ribosomal RNA (331 nucleotides) under uncultured bacterium. Its description in RNAcentral is "bacterial SSU rRNA". It matches the Rfam family "Bacterial small subunit ribosomal RNA", at positions 568 to 899 of the family's 1533-position model. The record is from RNAcentral.
UCCGUAGGCGGUGUGGCAAGUCGGUAGUGAAAUCUCUCGGCUUAACUGAGAGGCUGCUGCCGAAACUGCCAUGCUCGAGUGCGAGAGAGGCGAGUGGAAUUGCGGGUGUAGCGGUGAAAUGCGUAGAUAUCCGCAGGAACAUCCGAGGCGAAAGCGGCUCGCUGGAUCGCAACUGACGCUGAGGGACGAAAGCUAGGGGAGCAAACAGGAUUAGAUACCCUGGUAGUCCUAGCCCUAAACCAUCAGGACUUGGGGUUUGCCCUGUACGGGGCAAGUCCCGGAGCUAACGCGUUAAGUCCUGCGCCUGGGGAGUACGGUCGCAAGGCUAGAA